RNAcentral lists this ribosomal RNA (797 nucleotides) under Polyedriopsis spinulosa. RNAcentral's name for it is "partial large subunit ribosomal RNA". It matches the Rfam family "Eukaryotic large subunit ribosomal RNA", at positions 80 to 911 of the family's 3401-position model. The record is from RNAcentral. Lineage: Eukaryota; Viridiplantae; Chlorophyta; Chlorophyceae; Sphaeropleales; Neochloridaceae.
CUAGUAACGGCGAGCGAAACGGCAAUAGCCCAACUUGAAAAUCUCCCUUUGGAGAAUUGUAGUCUAUAGAAGUACUCUCUGCAACGGGCGGAACUCAAGUCUCCUGGAAAGGGGCGUCAGAGAGGGUGAGAACCCCGUCGGUUCCUGCUUAGUUGCCUCACGAGGUGCUUUCGAAGAGUCGGGUUGCUUGGGAAUGCAGCCCUAAUUUGGUGGUAAAUCCCAUCUAAGGCUAAAUACUGGCGAGAGACCGAUAGCGAACAAGUACCGUGAGGGAAAGAUGAAAAGAACUUUGAAAAGAGAGUUAAAAAGUGCUUGAAAUUGUUGAGGGGGAAGCGUUUGAAUGCUCGGGUGCGCUUAGGCUUAUGUAGUCUUAACGGGCUGCUGUAUGUGCUAAGUGCUGGCCAGCAUGGGUUGGACUGGUAGGAUAACAGUCGGGGUUGUUACCUGGCCUAUACUACCGGCCCGACCAAGGCAUGAAGACUGCCCUUGUCCUUCGGGAACUGCAGUCUCAAGAUGCUGGCGGAAAGCUUUCAACCGACCCGUCUUGAAACACGGACCAAGGAGUCUAACAUGUAUGCGAGCUGGUGGGUGGAAAACCCAUGAAGCGCAAGUAACCUGACUGGUGGGAUGGCCUGUGCCUGCACCAUCGACCGACCAUGAGCUUCUGCGAAAGGUUUGAGUACGAGCAUACCUGUUGGGACCCGAAAGAUGGUGAACUAUGCCUGAGCAGGGCGAAGCCAGAGGAAACUCUGGUGGAGGCUCGUAGAUGUGCUGACGUGCAAAUCGCUUUUCGGACU